Saimiri boliviensis boliviensis (Bolivian squirrel monkey) is the source of this 103-nucleotide small nucleolar RNA. RefSeq annotates it as small nucleolar RNA U13. The record is from RefSeq and is a predicted model, not a curated record. Lineage: Eukaryota; Metazoa; Chordata; Mammalia; Primates; Cebidae.
AUUCUUUGUAGUUCAUAAGCCUGAUGAUUGGGUUUUCAUGUGCAUAUGUGAGAUGUGCCUCCCUCAAACUUUGUUACAGUGUUGGAACAUUUCCCAUCUGAUG